GGCGCGCAAAUUACCCACUCCCAGCACGGGGAGGUAGUGACGAAAAAUAACGAUACGGGACUCAUCCGAGGCCCCGUAAUCGGAAUGAGUACACUUUAAAACUUUUCCCGAGGAUCAAUUGGAGGGUAAGUCUGGUGCCAGCAGCCGCGGUAAUUCCAGCUCCAAUAGCGUAUAUUAAAGUUGUUGCGGUUAAAAAGCUCGUAGUCGAAUCUGUGUCCCGCGCCGCUGGUUCAUCGCUCGCGGUGUUCAACUGGCGUGUCUCGCGGGACGUCCUGCCGGUGGGCGCUCGUCCGUUUCGGCGGUCGUGGCCCAACUCGCUUCCGUCUCGCGCGGUUGUGAAUCCCAUCGCGGUGCUCUUUAUUGAGUGUCGAGGUGGGCCGGCACGUUUACUUUGAACAAAUUAGAGUGCUUAAAGCAGGCCAAUUUUGCCUGAAUAUUGUGUGCAUGGAAUAAUGGAAUAGGACCUCGGUUCUAUUUUGUUGGUUUUCGGAACCCCGAGGUAAUGAUUAAUAGGAACGGAUGGGGGCAUUCGUAUUGCGACGUUAGAGGUGAAAUUCUUGGAUCGUCGCAAGACGGACAGAAGCGAAAGCAUUUGCCAAAAACGCUUUCAUUGAUCAAGAACGAAAGUUAGAGGUUCGAAGGCGAUCAGAUACCGCCCUAGUUCUAACCAUAAACGAUGCCAGCUAGCGAUCCGCCGACGUUCCUCCGAUGACUCGGCGGGCAGCUUCCGGGAAACCAAAGCUUUUGGGUUCCGGGGGAAGUAUGGUUGCAAAGCUGAAACUUAAAGGAAUUGACGGAAGGGCACCACCAGGAGUGGAGCCUGCGGCUUAAUUUGACUCAACACGGGACACCUCACCAGGCCCGGACACCGGAAGGAUUGACAGAUUGAGAGCUCUUUCUUGAUUCGGUGGGUGGUGGUGCA
Molecule: ribosomal RNA, 922 nt
Filed under: Mocyta fungi
Lineage: Eukaryota; Metazoa; Arthropoda; Insecta; Coleoptera; Staphylinidae
Description: SSU rRNA
Rfam family: Eukaryotic small subunit ribosomal RNA
Source: RNAcentral